This 233-nucleotide ribosomal RNA is filed under the name uncultured Lactobacillus sp. Its description in RNAcentral is "partial 16S ribosomal RNA". It matches the Rfam family "Bacterial small subunit ribosomal RNA", at positions 128 to 355 of the family's 1533-position model. Lineage: Bacteria; Bacillati; Bacillota; Bacilli; Lactobacillales; Lactobacillaceae. The record is from RNAcentral.
GCCCAAGAGAUCGGGAUAACACCUGGAAACAGAUGCUAAUACCGGAUAACAACAGAUGAUGCCUAUCAACUGUUUAAAAGAUGGUUCUGCUAUCACUCUUGGAUGGACCUGCGGUGCAUUAGCUAGUUGGUAGGGUAACGGCCUACCAAGCGAUGAUGCAUAGCCGAGUUGAGAGACUGAUCGGCCACAUUGGGACUGAGACACGGCCCAAACUCCUACGGGAGGCAGCAGCU